AGAGUUUGAUCAUGGCUCAGGACGAACGCUGGCGGCGUGCUUAACACAUGCAAGUCGAACGGUGAUGGCCAGCUUGCUGGUCUGAUCAGUGGCGAACGGGUGAGUAACACGUGAGCAACCUACCCCAGACUCUGGAAUAACCAUGGGAAACGAUGGCUAAUACCGGAUACGAGACGCACACGCAUGUGUGGUGUCUGGAAAGAUUUAUCGGUCUGGGAUGGGCUCGCGGCCUAUCAGCUUGUUGGUGGGGUAGUGGCCCACCAAGGCGACGACGGGUAGCCGGCCUGAGAGGGCGACCGGCCACACUGGGACUGAGAUACGGCCCAGACUCCUACGGGAGGCAGCAGUGGGGAAUAUUGCACAAUGGGCGCAAGCCUGAUGCAGCGACGCCGCGUGAGGGAUGACGGCCUUCGGGUUGUAAACCUCUUUCAGCAGGGAAGAAGCGAAAGUGACGGUACCUGCAGAAGAAGCGCCGGCUAACUACGUGCCAGCAGCCGCGGUAAUACGUAGGGCGCAAGCGUUGUCCGGAAUUAUUGGGCGUAAAGAGCUCGUAGGCGGUUUGUCGCGUCUGCUGUGAAAACCUAAGGCUCAACCUUGGGCUUGCAGUGGGUACGGGCAGACUAGAGUGCGGUAGGGGUGACUGGAAUUCCUGGUGUAGCGGUGGAAUGCGCAGAUAUCAGGAGGAACACCGAUGGCGAAGGCAGGUCACUGGGCCGCAACUGACGCUGAGGAGCGAAAGCAUGGGGAGCGAACAGGAUUAGAUACCCUAGUAGUCC
Molecule: ribosomal RNA, 776 nt
Filed under: uncultured bacterium
Lineage: Bacteria
Description: bacterial SSU rRNA
Rfam family: Bacterial small subunit ribosomal RNA
Source: RNAcentral